Molecule: ribosomal RNA, 159 nt
Filed under: Donnellsmithia mexicana
Lineage: Eukaryota; Viridiplantae; Streptophyta; Magnoliopsida; Apiales; Apiaceae
Description: 5.8S ribosomal RNA
Rfam family: 5.8S ribosomal RNA
About the family: 5.8S ribosomal RNA (5.8S rRNA) is a component of the large subunit of the eukaryotic ribosome.
Source: RNAcentral
GACUCUUGACAACGGAUAUCUCGGCUCACGCAUCGAUGAAGAACGUAGCGAAAUGCGAUACUUGGUGUGAAUUGCAGAAUCCCGUGAACCAUCGAGUCUUUGAACGCAAGUUGCGCCCGUAGCCACUACGCUGAGGGCACGCCUGCCUGGGUGUCACGC